UUUUAGCCCCGAUUGUAGUGGAAAUCCUUAUGACCCGGGGUUCGGGACAUAAGAUUGUAACGAAAAGCGGGAAACCCU
Molecule: small RNA, 78 nt
Filed under: Flavobacterium succinicans
Lineage: Bacteria; Pseudomonadati; Bacteroidota; Flavobacteriia; Flavobacteriales; Flavobacteriaceae
Description: Flavo-1 RNA
Rfam family: Flavo-1 RNA
Source: Rfam by way of RNAcentral